GGACUACUGGGGUUUCUAAUCCUGUUUGAUCCCCACGCUUUCGUGCCUCAGUGUCAAUAAUAGUGUAGCGAGCUGCCUUCGCAAUGGGUGUUCUAUGUCAUAUCUAAGCAUUUCACCGCUACAUGACAUAUUCCGCUCACCUCCACUACAUUCAAGACAGAUAGUAUCAACGGCAGUUUCUAAGUUAAGCUUAGAGAUUUCACCACUGACUUACCUGCCCACCUACGCACCCUUUAAACCCAGUGAAUCCGGAUAACGCUUGCACCCUCCGUAUUACCGCGGCUGCUGGCAC
RNAcentral lists this ribosomal RNA (292 nucleotides) under uncultured bacterium. RNAcentral's name for it is "partial 16S ribosomal RNA". RNAcentral also lists the same sequence under 1 other name. The record is from RNAcentral.